Molecule: non-coding RNA, 23 nt
Filed under: Cricetulus griseus (Chinese hamster)
Lineage: Eukaryota; Metazoa; Chordata; Mammalia; Rodentia; Cricetidae
Source: RNAcentral
GCAGACUGAGCAUGUGACAGCAG